This 158-nucleotide unclassified non-coding RNA is filed under the name uncultured Helotiales. RNAcentral's name for it is "sequence contains ITS1". The record is from RNAcentral. Lineage: Eukaryota; Fungi; Ascomycota; Leotiomycetes; Helotiales.
ACGAGAUCAUGCCCUCACGGGUAGACCUCCCACCCUUGAAUACUAUACCUUCGUUGCUUUGGCGGGCCGCCUCGGCCACCGGCUCUCGCUGGUGAGUGCCCGCCAGAGGACCCUAAACUCUGAAUUAUCGUGUCGUCUGAGUACUUAUACAAUAGUUA